Molecule: long non-coding RNA, 185 nt
Organism: Branchiostoma floridae (Florida lancelet)
Lineage: Eukaryota; Metazoa; Chordata; Leptocardii; Amphioxiformes; Branchiostomatidae
Exons: 3
Source: RefSeq, a predicted model, not a curated record
AGAAACCAAGGAGACCAGCAGCAGACCACCAGUGGGUACCAAGGAGACACCAGACCAGGCUCUUGGUAACGACCUUGACAGCAUCUAUGCAGCGUCCGUCUCCCCAAACCCACAGGAUGUACUCAAGAUGCUGGCUCAGAAUGCAGAUGUCCCUGGAGAUGCUGUUGCGUCGGAGCAGCCAACAU